Molecule: non-coding RNA, 44 nt
Organism: Schistosoma curassoni
Lineage: Eukaryota; Metazoa; Platyhelminthes; Trematoda; Strigeidida; Schistosomatidae
Source: Rfam
AUUAGCUGACGAGUUCUAAAUAGGACGAAACGUACGUCCUGGAU